UACGAGGGGUGCGAGCAUUAUUCGGAAUUAUUGGGCGUAAAGGGUGCGUAGGUGGUAUGUUAAGUCAACUGUUUAAUUCUUCGGCCUAACCGGGGGCAUGCAGUAGAUACUGGCGUACUAGAGGGUGGAAGAGAGAAGUGGAAUUCUCGGAGUAGCGGUAAAAUGCGUAGAUCUCGAGAGGAACACCAAUGGCGAAGGCAGCUUCUUAGUCCAUACCUGACACUGAGGCACGAAAGCGUGGGGAGCAAACAGG
RNAcentral lists this ribosomal RNA (253 nucleotides) under uncultured bacterium. RNAcentral describes it as "partial 16S ribosomal RNA". It matches the Rfam family "Bacterial small subunit ribosomal RNA", at positions 524 to 776 of the family's 1533-position model. The record is from RNAcentral.